Molecule: non-coding RNA, 192 nt
Organism: Gardnerella vaginalis ATCC 14019
Lineage: Bacteria; Bacillati; Actinomycetota; Actinomycetes; Bifidobacteriales; Bifidobacteriaceae
Source: Rfam
CACAUCGACCAGAGGUCGCGCUCAACAAGAGUAGCAAUCAUUAGCCAGAAAGAGGCGUUAAGUGAUUUGCAAAAGGGGAGAGCGCCGAAGUUUGUAGGUUAUUCUUUCUAGCUUACAAGCUGGGACUUGGCUUAAUAAGCCAAGGACUGUCGCAGCAAUUUUGGCAAUUUGCUGCGGAGUGCUAUCGACAUG